Molecule: non-coding RNA, 84 nt
Organism: Pisolithus tinctorius Marx 270
Lineage: Eukaryota; Fungi; Basidiomycota; Agaricomycetes; Boletales; Pisolithaceae
Source: Rfam
GGGCAGGUGAUCCGAUUGGUAAUGGUGGUUCUCUGUAAAAGAAUUGGUCUACGACCGCAAAAGGUUCGAUUCCUUUACUGCUCA